This 403-nucleotide ribosomal RNA is filed under the name uncultured bacterium. RNAcentral's name for it is "partial 16S ribosomal RNA". It matches the Rfam family "Bacterial small subunit ribosomal RNA", at positions 29 to 526 of the family's 1533-position model. The record is from RNAcentral.
AUUGAACGCUGGCGGCAGGCCUAACACAUGCAAGUCGAGCGAGCGGCGGACGGGUGAGUAAUGUAUGGGGACUGCCCGAUAGAGGGGGAUAACGACUGGAAACGGUAGCUAAUACCGCAUACUAUCGGAUAACCCAUAUGGGAUUAGCUAGUAGGUGAGGUACUGGCUCACCUAGGAGACGAUCCAUAGCUGGUCUGAGAGGAUGAGCAGCCACACUGGGACGUAGACACGGCCCAGCCGCCUACGGAGGAAGCAGUGGGUAAUAUUGCACAAUGGGCGACAGCCUGAUGCAGCCAUGCCGCGGGUAUGAAGAAGGCCUUAGGGGUGUAAAGUACUUGCAGUCGGGAGGCGUUACCGACAGAAGAAGCACCGGCGAACUCCGUGCCAGCAGCGGCGGUAAUUC